RNAcentral lists this ribosomal RNA (516 nucleotides) under Triticum aestivum (bread wheat). RNAcentral's name for it is "partial small subunit ribosomal RNA". The record is from RNAcentral. Lineage: Eukaryota; Viridiplantae; Streptophyta; Magnoliopsida; Poales; Poaceae.
AUGGCUUUUACUGACAGCAGAGAAUUAAAAAAUGCACUAGUUAAAUAUGGACUGAAGAAUUUUCAUCAUUUGAUAUUUCUUAAGGAUGAGAAGAAGAGAGUAAGUGCCAAGUGUAGCUGGGUUGGUUGCAAAUGGAACAUCUAUGGGUCAAUAAAUAGCAAAUCUGACUUGUUGAUAGUUCACAUGUACAAUAAUGUCCACACUUGUGUGCCUAGGAGAGACAAUAAGCUGGUGACUAGUACUGUGAUUGCUAGGAAAUACUUCAGGCAGAUUAGAGACAAUCUAACAUGGAGGGUGGAGAAAAUGCACGAAGCUGUACUAGAAGAUAUGCUAGCAGAUGUGACCAUAUCCAAAUGCAAGAGGGCAAAGAAGCUUGUCAUGGAAAAGCUCAUAGAUUCAACUAAUGGUGAGUACUCGAGAGUAUUUGACUACCACCUUGAGUUACUAAGGAGCAAUCCUAGGAGUACUAUUGCAGUGACAGUAGACCCAGAUGUGCAUGACAGGAAUGUUUUUUAG